Long non-coding RNA from Eleginops maclovinus (Patagonian blennie), 1387 nucleotides. RefSeq lists it as uncharacterized. The transcript is spliced from 3 exons. Lineage: Eukaryota; Metazoa; Chordata; Actinopteri; Perciformes; Eleginopidae. The record is from RefSeq and is a predicted model, not a curated record.
GUUAAAUCAAGUGAAGAAAGGGCUGUAGAAAAAAAGAAAAUCCAUGGCGUAGCAUCGAUCAUUUUGAUAAACAUUCGCAAAUCCGCUUAAAAUUCACAAAUCCAAACCAGCACUUGAGGCGUAGCGGGGAUCUGCGCCCGUCAGACACACCUGCUGGAGGUAGGAGGGUGGCUGGCAGCAAGGAGGCCGCGCAGACUCCGCGAAGAUUGUGGAGGAAGUUAGGCUUUUGCGGUCUUUUUUAAAGGCAUCUCAACCUCCAAUAGUGACAGCACUUUGACCAAAAAAAUGGGGAUCCAGCAGAGGGCAUCAGAGAACACUAUGAAGAAAAAUCUGUUGGCCACAGCCACGUCUCUGUGCAGUCUGCUCCUCAAGUCGGUGGCAUUGAUGCCGGUUUUAUAGAUGGAGCAGAACAUGCUGGAGUAUGAGAAGGCGAUCACCAGGAAUGCCACCAGGUUCAGACCUAAACACAAAUGCAAGUUUGUACUUCAUAUACAGGAAGAGAUAGACUCCCUGCAAAAGCACACAAGAUCAAAUGAAGGGGAUGUGAGAUUAUUGUUUCAGUAAGGAAGGAAAUACGAACAUGUUUGCACAUAUAAAAACAAACCAGGUUUACAUUUGCACUUAAAUGUAUGCACUAGUACACAGAGAAGCUGAUAAUGAAUCCCCCUCAUGAAUAAAUUCACAGGGCCCAGUGAUGCUGGCGUAUUUUAAGAGAGAAUACCCAGUGAUUUAUUCAUCACAAUUGCCAGAUUUCACAGCCCCUCAGUGAGAACAUGGAGUAAAAACAACCCAGACUAAUCAUGUGUUGUUGAUGGAGCCAUGGUGUUUGCUGUGUAAUCUAACAUGCAAUGUUUUGUAAACUGAUUUGGAUGAGUAACAAUGUCACCUAAAGUUAUAUCCGAUGCUGUUGAAAGACUUAAAAAAGCUAAUCUUCAGCUGUAAACCCACUACAUAACAACACUAUAAUAACAUAUACAUGUCUCCAUGAUACGCAACAGUAAUUGAUCAGAUGUCAAGUUCAGUCUUUAAUCCCAGUGUGUAGUGCAUUUGAUCCCUACAGUGAUUUAUCCUUGGGGAAUGAACAUUUUAUUAAAUUUGACUGCAGAACCCUCCUAAAAUUAGACUACAGAUGUAAUACCUUCAAGUGCUCAACAUAAAAACCUGCUACCAAUCAGCUAUCUCUGUAUAAUGAGCUUCAGUGAAAAACUGAACGAUUUUCAGCUUCAAUUUACCCAGGAAAAUCCCUGUUGAAUAUCCUUUGGCAGUAGGUUUUUCUUGCCUGUCAGAGUGCAGGGGAAAGCAGACCCCAUUACGUCCGUAGUAAUUUCCAAACACGUCCUCAUUCAUUAGGGGCACAGCAGCAAUCAUAAACCCCAGGAGCCAGAUA